Non-coding RNA from Oryctolagus cuniculus (rabbit), 1063 nucleotides. The record is from RefSeq and is a predicted model, not a curated record. Lineage: Eukaryota; Metazoa; Chordata; Mammalia; Lagomorpha; Leporidae.
AGGCAGAGCAAUGGGGAGUGGGGGGGAGAUAGAGAGAGAUCUUCUAUCUGCUGGUUGGAUGGGCAGGACAGGAGGCGGGGCUAUGGAGCAGGACUCCCAGGGGCUGGGCGCAGCAGUGGGGAGGGAGCAGUUCGUCCCAGCUCCUCUGGGUUUGUCCUGGACUUUCCGAGUUCUAGCACUAGGAGUCCCGCGUUCCUGGAAACCUCCCGGUCCCAGGCAUCUGUCACCCCUCACCCCCUGGGCUUGGGCUGGCAGCAGCCCUGGGGCCUCUGUCCAGGAUGGAGAACCAGGCUUCAGCCAGCUGAGGAGUCAGGACACCAGGCCGACGAUGGUCAAGGCUGGAGGGCGUUUUCAGGUACAAACCAUCCUUUACCACAUGGGGACCCCAAAACCUUGCAGCCUUCCAAGGUGGCACCAAUCCUCCGCGUUGCUUAUCACACCACAUGGAUUCUCGGUUUUUUGUUUUGUUUCUUUUGUUUUUUGUUUUGUUUUUGUUGUUGUUGUUGUUGUUUGUUUGUCUUUGUUUUUGAGAGACAGACCCGUGCACAGAGAGAAUUUCCAUCCAGCUGGUUCCCCAAAUGCCCCAGCGGCCAGGGGUUAGGCUGAAGCCAAAAGCUUGGAACCGGGAACCCGAGCAAGCUCUCCACAAAUUUUUAAAGGGUGUUCGCAGCGAACUAGUAAGGAUGCAGCCCUGUCAUCUGUCGCCACCUCCCCGCUCCCUGCCAGGAUUGCACAAAGAUACUACAUUCACAGCUCUCUGCCAUGGCCUGGGAAAGCAGUGGAAAAUGACCCAAGUUCUUGGGCCUCUGCACCUGCACGGGAGACCUGGAAGAAGCUCCUGUCUCCUGGCUUUGGAUUGGCGCAGCUCCGGCCAUUGCGGCCAAUUGGGGAGUGAACCAGCGGAUGGAAGACACCCCCCCCCCAGCUGCCUCUCCUUCUCUCUCUGUGUAACUGUGACUUUCAAAUAAAUAAGUAAAUCUUAAAAAAAAAAAAAAAGAAAAGAAUUCCCGUGGAUUUUCCAGAUGCAACAGCAGCGCUGUGUGUCCACUCCUCCCCGUGUCCU